AUACAUCUAGAUCCAUACCCCUAAACUCCCUAGAUGUCUUGAGUGGUACGUAUAUAAAAAUACGGUAUCACUCUUUUUUA
This 80-nucleotide small RNA is filed under the name Listeria booriae. Its description in RNAcentral is "Listeria sRNA sbrA". It matches the Rfam family "Listeria sRNA sbrA". Lineage: Bacteria; Bacillati; Bacillota; Bacilli; Caryophanales; Listeriaceae. The record is from Rfam by way of RNAcentral.